GGAAGGAUCAUCACAAAAGUGUGAGGGGAAGGAGGGGGGUCGUCCCCGCCUUUCACCACCAAUCUUGUGUGCACCGUUUCACCGGUCAUGUCAUGUGCGUUGGCGGGAGUUGUGUUGUACUACUCUACUACUCGCCGACCGCAUGCCUCCAAUUAUUAUCGCGAUGCAACCUUGUCCAACACUACUAUGUUAAUACUAUUACAACUUUUAACAAUGGAUCUCUUGGCUCUCGCAUCGAUGAAGAACGCAGCAAAUUGCGAAAAUUAAUGUGCAUUGCAGUACGUGAAUCAUCGAGUCUUUGAACGCAACUUGCACUCUAGGUUCUCCUAGAGUAUGCCUAUUUGAGUAUCGGCACACCCCUCAAAUCCCCCCUCCCCACAAGGGAUGAUUUGGACCUUGUGAGUCAUGUGCGCACAUGGCGUGCGCACCGACUUGAAGUGUGUACACACACUCUGGCCCGUGGGUUGGUGGGGGUGGUACACGCUGACGUGAUAAGUCUAUUUCGUCGGCACACACACACCAUCCCGCGGGAACAGGGCCACGCUCUUUCUUUUUUUCGAUCUCAAAUUAGGUAGGACUACCCGCUGAAUUUAAGCAUAUCAAUAAGCGGAGGAAAAGAAACUAACAAGGAUUCCCCUAGUAACGGCGAGUGAAGCGGGAACAGCUCAAAUUUGAAAUCUGGCUCGGCAUCCGCCGCGUCCGAAUUGUAGUUUAUGGUCCGUGUAUCGGUGCCACCAGCUGGUAUAAUUUGCCUGGAAUGGCGCAAAUCAUAGAGGGUGAUAGUCCCGUCCAUGACCAGCCGCGUGCGUGCCACACGUUACACCGGACUUGGAGUCGAGUUGUUUGGGAAUGCAGCUCAAAAUGGGAGGUAGAUUUCUUCCAAAGCUAAAUAAUGGCGAGAGACCGAUAGCGAACAAGUACCGUGAGGGAAAGAUGAAAAGAACUCUGAAGAGAGAGUGAAAUAGUACGUGAAAUUGUUAAAAGGGAAACGCUUGAAACUGCUAUGGCUGCGCUGCAGCCUGCCAGCAUCAGUUUGGCACACAGCGGCCCACAAGGCCGUGGGAAAUGUAGGACACGCGUGUCUGUUAUAGUCCCACGUGCGCAUGUGCUGCGCCAGACUGAGGUCUGCCGCCCCUCGCGGGACGUAGGAUGUUGGCUGAAUGGUUUUAAUCGACCCGUCUUGAAACACGGACCAAGGAGUCUAACAUGUAUGCGAGUAUUUGGGUGGUGAAACCCACGUGCGCAAUGAAAGUAACCAUGGAUGGGACACGCUUCUCGCGUCGCACCAUCAACCGAACCCCGCUGCCGGGAUUCGCGUGGGAGCAUACAUGCUGGGACCCGAAAGAUGGUGAACUAUGCCUGAAUAGGGUGAAGCCAGAGGAAACUCUGGUGGAGGCUCGUAGCGAUUCUGACGUGCAAAUCGAUCGUCAAAUUUGGGUAUAGGGGCGAAAGACUAAUCGAACCAUCUAGUAGCUGGUUCCUGC
This 1484-nucleotide unclassified non-coding RNA is filed under the name uncultured fungus. Its description in RNAcentral is "sequence contains 18S rRNA gene, ITS1, 5.8S rRNA gene, ITS2, 28S rRNA gene". The stretch from base 558 to 1484 matches the Rfam family "Eukaryotic large subunit ribosomal RNA", at positions 1 to 961 of the family's 3401-position model. Lineage: Eukaryota; Fungi. The record is from RNAcentral.